RNAcentral lists this ribosomal RNA (253 nucleotides) under uncultured bacterium. Its description in RNAcentral is "partial 16S ribosomal RNA". It matches the Rfam family "Bacterial small subunit ribosomal RNA", at positions 524 to 776 of the family's 1533-position model. The record is from RNAcentral.
UACAGAGGUUUCAAGCGUUGUUCGGAUUCAUUGGGCGUAAAGGGCGCGUAGGCUGCGGGGCAAGUCGGGUGUGAAAUCUCAGAGCUCAACUCUGAAACUGCACUCGAUACUGCUUUGCUUGAGGACUGGAGAGGAGAUUGGAAUUCACGGUGUAGCAGUGAAAUGCGUAGAUAUCGUGAGGAAGACCAGUGGCGAAGGCGGAUCUCUGGACAGUUCCUGACGCUGAGGCGCGAAGGCCAGGGGAGCAAACGGG